Molecule: small nuclear RNA, 161 nt
Filed under: Setaria italica (foxtail millet)
Lineage: Eukaryota; Viridiplantae; Streptophyta; Magnoliopsida; Poales; Poaceae
Description: snRNA U1
Rfam family: U1 spliceosomal RNA
About the family: U1 is a small nuclear RNA (snRNA) component of the spliceosome (involved in pre-mRNA splicing). Its 5' end forms complementary base pairs with the 5' splice junction, thus defining the 5' donor site of an intron.
Source: Rfam by way of RNAcentral
AUACUUACCUGGACGGGGUCGAUGGGCGAUCGUGAAGGCCCAUGGCCUAGAUCAGUGGCCCACAUUGCACUUUGUGGGUGCGCUGGUCUACCAUCUCCCCAAGUGGGAGAGUGGACGUCAUAAUUUGUGGUAGAGGGGGUACGCGUUCGCGCGGCCCCCGC